GAUGAACGCUGGCGGCGUGCCUAAUACAUGCAAGUCGAGCGAACGGACGAGAAGCUUGCUUCUCUGAUGUUAGCGGCGGACGGGUGAGUAACACGUGGAUAACCUACCUAUAAGACUGGGAUAACUUCGGGAAACCGGAGCUAAUACCGGAUGAUAUUUUGAACCGCAUGGUUCAAAAGUGAAAGACGGUCUUGCUGUCACUUAUAGAUGGAUCCGCGCUGCAUUAGCUAGUUGGUAAGGUAACGGCUUACCAAGGCAACGAUGCAUAGCCGACCUGAGAGGGUGAUGGGCCACACUGGGACUGAGACACGGUCCAGGCUCCUACGGGAGGCAGCAGUAGGGAAUCUUCCGCAAUGGGCGAAAGCCUGACGGAGCAGCGCCGCGUGAGUGAUGAAGGUCUUCGGAUCGUAGAACUCUGUUAUUAGGGAAGAACAUAUGUGUAAGUAACUGUGCACAUCUUGACGGUACCUAAUCAGAAAGCCACGGCUAACUACGUG
This 497-nucleotide ribosomal RNA is filed under the name uncultured bacterium. Its description in RNAcentral is "partial 16S ribosomal RNA". It matches the Rfam family "Bacterial small subunit ribosomal RNA", at positions 28 to 507 of the family's 1533-position model. The record is from RNAcentral.